Molecule: ribosomal RNA, 550 nt
Filed under: uncultured bacterium
Lineage: Bacteria
Description: bacterial SSU rRNA
Rfam family: Bacterial small subunit ribosomal RNA
Source: RNAcentral
AGCGGCGGACGGGUGAGUAAUGCCUGGGAAUAUGCCCUGAUGUGGGGGAUAACUAUUGGAAACGAUAGCUAAUACCGCAUAAUCUCUUCGGAGCAAAGAGGGGGACCUUCGGGCCUCUCGCGUCAGGAUUAGCCCAGGUGGGAUUAGCUUGUUGGUGAGGUAAUGGCUCACCAAGGCAACGAUCCCUAGCUGGUCUGAGAGGAUGAUCAGCCACACUGGAACUGAGACACGGUCCAGACUCCUACGGGAGGCAGCAGUGGGGAAUAUUGCACAAUGGGGGAAACCCUGAUGCAGCCAUGCCGCGUGUGUGAAGAAGGCCUUCGGGUUGUAAAGCACUUUCAGUAGGGAGGAAGGUAGUGCAGUUAACACCUGCAUUAUUUGACGUUACCUACAGAAGAAGCACCGGCUAACUCCGUGCCAGCAGCCGCGGUAAUACGGAGGGUGCGAGCGUUAAUCGGAAUUACUGGGCGUAAAGCGCAUGCAGGCGGCCUGUUAAGUCAGAUGUGAAAGCCCGGGGCUUAACCUCGGAAUUGCAUUUGAAACUGGCAGG